UUUGUACUCCCUCCGUCCCAAAAUUCUUAUCUUCAAUUUUUCUAAAUAUGGAUGUAUCUAGUUACAUUUUAGUGUUAGAUACAUCCGUAUCUAAACAAAUGUAAGACAAGAAUUUUGGGACGGAGGGAAUACUAC
Molecule: non-coding RNA, 135 nt
Organism: Triticum aestivum (bread wheat)
Lineage: Eukaryota; Viridiplantae; Streptophyta; Magnoliopsida; Poales; Poaceae
Source: Rfam